UACAGAGGGUGCAAGCGUUGCUCGGAAUUAUUGGGCGUAAAGGGUAGGUAGGUGGUCUGAUUUGUCGGAGGUGAAAGCCUGAAGCUUAACUUCAGAAGGGCCUCCGAAACGGUCAGACUUGGAGUCUUUGAGAGGGUCGUGGAAUUCCCGGUGUAGCGUGAAAUGCGUAGAGAUCGGGAGGAACACCUGAGGCGAAAGCGGCGACCUGGAGAAGUACUGACACUCGACUACGAAAGCGUGGGGAGCAAACAGGG
This 254-nucleotide ribosomal RNA is filed under the name uncultured bacterium. Its description in RNAcentral is "partial 16S ribosomal RNA". It matches the Rfam family "Bacterial small subunit ribosomal RNA", at positions 524 to 777 of the family's 1533-position model. The record is from RNAcentral.